RNAcentral lists this ribosomal RNA (1147 nucleotides) under uncultured Chlamydia sp. RNAcentral's name for it is "bacterial SSU rRNA". It matches the Rfam family "Bacterial small subunit ribosomal RNA", at positions 202 to 1337 of the family's 1533-position model. Lineage: Bacteria; Pseudomonadati; Chlamydiota; Chlamydiia; Chlamydiales; Chlamydiaceae. The record is from RNAcentral.
AAGGGGAUCUUCGGACCUUUCGGUUAAGGGAGAGUCUAUGGGAUAUCAGCUUGUUGGUGGGGUAAUGGCCUACCAAGGCUUUGACGUCUAGGCGGAUUGAGAGAUUGACCGCCAACACUGGGACUGAGACACUGCCCAGACUUCUACGGAAGGCUGCAGUCGAGAAUCUUUCGCAAUGGACGAAAGUCUGACGAAGCGACGCCGCGUGUGUGAUGAAGGCUCUAGGGUUGUAAAGCACUUUCGCUUGGGAAUAAGAGAGAUUGGCUAAUAUCCAAUCGAUUUGAGCGUACCAGGUAAAGAAGCACCGGCUAACUCCGUGCCAGCAGCUGCGGUAAUACGGAGGGUGCUAGCGUUAAUCGGAUUUAUUGGGCGUAAAGGGCGUGUAGGCGGAAAGGAAAGUUAGAUGUUAAAUCUUGGGGCUCAACCCCAAGCCAGCAUCUAAUACUAUCUUUCUAGAGGGUAGAUGGAGAAAAGGGAAUUCCACGUGUAGCGGUGAAAUGCGUAGAUAUGUGGAAGAACACCAGUGGCGAAGGCGCUUUUCUAAUUUACACCUGACGCUAAGGCGCGAAAGCAAGGGGAGCAAACAGGAUUAGAUACCCUGGUAGUCCUUGCCGUAAACGAUGCAUACUUGAUGUGGAUAGUCUCAACCCUAUCCGUGUCGUAGCUAACGCGUUAAGUAUGCCGCCUGAGGAAUACACUCGCAAGGGUGAAACUCAAAAGAAUUGACGGGGGCCCGCACAAGCAGUGGAGCAUGUGGUUUAAUUCGAUGCAACGCGAAGAACCUUACCUGGGCUUGACAUGUAUUUGACCGCGGCAGAAAUGUCGUUUUCCGCAAGGACAGAUACACAGGUGCUGCAUGGCUGUCGUCAGCUCGUGCCGUGAGGUGUUGGGUUAAGUCCCGCAACGAGCGCAACCCUUAUCGUUAGUUGCCAACACUUAGGGUGGGAACUCUAAUGAGACUGCCUGGGUUAACCAGGAGGAAGGCGAGGAUGACGUCAAGUCAGCAUGGCCCUUAUGCCCAGGGCUACACACGUGCUACAAUGGCCAGUACAGAAGGUAGCAAUAUCGCAAGAUGGAGCAAAUCCUCAAAGCUGGCCCCAGUUCGGAUUGUAGUCUGCAACUCGACUACAUGAAGUCGGAAUUGCUA